UGCUGUUCUCGUGAUAGUGAAUGGGUCUCACGAGAUCUGACGGUUUUAAAAAUAGGAGUUCCCCUACGCAGUCUCUCUUGGCCGGCCUCCCUUCCACUCACGUGGAACUAGACAAUGGGGAUGGAUUUCCCCAAAUAUGUGCUGACUCUUGGGAAAAACUGCCGAGCCAAAAUGUGUCUACAUGAAGGUUGCUGACUCUACAGAGAUUUUGCUUGCAUACCCCAAAUACUGGAUUUAAAAGGAGAAAGUAUUCAACCUGAGGAAGCUGAUAAAAAAAGAAAAACAAAAACAAUUGAGAAAGUAACAGAAAUACAGUUCAAUUUGGCAAAUAUGUAUUGAAUGAUGACUUUUUGACAGAUUUCUCGUAAGAGCCUUCCUUCAGUAAUCACUUACACCAGAAUUUCAUGUCAAGCACUGCUUCAAGAGAUCCUAGCCCAGGACAUCCACCCCUCAAAAGACUGCGUCUCUCAGACUUAACAAAUAAAUAAUCAUACUUUGUGUAGUAAAGAAAUAUUUUAACAAAUGAAUACAGAGUGUUUGGAAAUGAAGUAAUGCACAAAGAUAUACCAUGCAAAUAUGAACAAAAAAGAUGCUUUUGUAACAAUUUUAAGCCCAAGUAAAAAGCCAAUAGAUACCAAUGAAGAAAUGAAUAGUGUUAUGUUUAUACAAGGUUCAUUGAGCAAUAAAAUACUAGUGAAGUUGAAGUGUCUCUGAAUGAAGAAUCAGGUUAAUAAUAGCUGAUUCUAUGUUUUUCAAAUGUCAUUGAUGCUAAUUAUUUUAUUUCACAGACAUUAUAUUCUUCACUCCCACUUUCAAAUUUGAGGAUUUCCACAGAUCUCUAAGAGCAAUUGGUAAAAGCAAAUUGUGUAUCAAGUCCUUCUCAGUGAUUCAGGAAGUUUAGACAACUGUUUUAUUCCAAAUUAAAGUGUGAAACUUGCACAGCUCUAAUUGUGUUAGCUUGGGCUAAUUAUUUCAUAUUUCUGAGUCUUACUUUAAUCAUCUUUAAAAUUAAAAAAGUCCUAAAUUAUAAUAUGUUGAACACCACACAUAAAAAAGUCCUAAAUUAUAAUAUGUUGAAAACCACACAUAAAAUCUCUUAAAGGACUAUCUUAAUCUCUCAGCAAUACCUGCUCUUUUUAUCUUCCUCUCUCUCCUUUUCCUCCCUCUUCUUUUUUAUCUUCCUCCCCCUCCUUUUUUAAAAUGUAGAAGCCA
Molecule: long non-coding RNA, 1212 nt
Organism: Gorilla gorilla gorilla (western lowland gorilla)
Lineage: Eukaryota; Metazoa; Chordata; Mammalia; Primates; Hominidae
Exons: 4
Source: RefSeq, a predicted model, not a curated record